Molecule: ribosomal RNA, 462 nt
Filed under: uncultured bacterium
Lineage: Bacteria
Description: partial 16S ribosomal RNA
Rfam family: Bacterial small subunit ribosomal RNA
Source: RNAcentral
GAUGAACGCUGACAGAAUGCUUAACACAUGCAAGUCUUUGGCGAAGCUGUGCUCGCACAGCCUAGCCAAGGCGGACGGGUGAGUAACGCGUAAGGAACUUGCCCUGCAGUCAGGGAUAACAGACGGAAACGACUGAUAAGACCUGGUAAAGUCAGGCGGACUCAUGUCCAGCCUGAUGAAAAGAGAUGCUGCAGGAGAGCCUUGCGUCCUAUUAGCUUGUUGGUGGGGUAACGGCCCACCAAGGCGAUGAUAGGUAGCCGGCCUGAGAGGGUGGACGGCCACAAGGGGACUGAGAUACGGCCCUUACUCCUACGGGAGGCAGCAGUGGGGAAUAUUGGACAAUGGGGGCAACCCUGAUCCAGCAAUUCUGUGUGCACGAUGAAGGUUUUCGGAUUGUAAAGUGCUUUCAGCAGGGAAGAAAAAAAUGACGGUACCUGCAGAAGAAGCGACGGCUAAAUACGU